This 509-nucleotide ribosomal RNA is filed under the name uncultured bacterium. RNAcentral describes it as "bacterial SSU rRNA". It matches the Rfam family "Bacterial small subunit ribosomal RNA", at positions 17 to 518 of the family's 1533-position model. The record is from RNAcentral.
AUAUGGCUCAGGAUGAACGCUAGCGGCAGGCUUAACACAUGCAAGUCGAGGGGCAUCGGGAGUAGCAAUACUGCCGGCGACCGGCGCAAGGGUGCGUAACGCGUGAGCAACAUGCCCGUAUCAGGGGGGAUAAUCCAUGGAAACGUGGUCUAAUACCCCAUAGUAAUUAUGUAAGGCAUCUUAUAUAAUUUAAAGCUUUGGUGGAUACGGAUUGGCUCGCGUGACAUUAGCUGGAUGGUAAGGUAACGGCUUACCAUGGCUACGAUGUCUAGGGGUUCUGAGAGGAAGGUCCCCCCACACUGGAACUGAGACACGGUCCAGACUCCUACGGGAGGCAGCAGUGAGGAAUAUUGGACAAUGGAUGGAAAUCUGAUCCAGCCAUGCCGCGUGCAAGGGAAGACGGCCCUAUGGGUUGUAAACUGCUUUUGUAUGGGAGCAAUAAGGGCUACGUGUAGUCCGAUGAGAGUACCAUACGAAUAAGCACCGGCUAACUCCGUGCCAGCCGCGGC